UCAAGCUUGAAAAUUGUAAUUACUGAUAAGAACUCGUUUGUUAAACCUCUGUGAGGUAUAAAACCAAAUGCUACAGACGUCAAUUUUCCAGCCCCAUUUGUUUUGUCAGGAUAGAAGAUUCCACAAUAACUCCUCAGAGGAUAUUAACAAGGUUCCACAAUAACUCCUUAGAGGAUAUUUACAGUGUUAUACACUAACCCCUUAGAGGAUAUAAACAAGGUUCCACAAUAACUCCUUAGAGGAUAUAAACAAGGUUCCACAAUAACUCCUUAGAGGAUAUUGUCAGUGUUAUACACUAACUACUUAGAGGAUAUUAACAAGGUUCCACAAUAACUCCUUAGAGGAUAUUUACAGUGUUAUACACUAACUCCUUAGAGGAUAUAAACAAGGUUCCACAAUAACUCCUUAGAGGAUAUAAACAAGGUUCCACAAUAACUCCUUAGAGGAUAUUUAC
Molecule: long non-coding RNA, 454 nt
Organism: Haliotis rubra (blacklip abalone)
Lineage: Eukaryota; Metazoa; Mollusca; Gastropoda; Lepetellida; Haliotidae
Exons: 3
Source: RefSeq, a predicted model, not a curated record